RNAcentral lists this ribosomal RNA (259 nucleotides) under uncultured Lactococcus sp. Its description in RNAcentral is "partial 16S ribosomal RNA". It matches the Rfam family "Bacterial small subunit ribosomal RNA", at positions 826 to 1100 of the family's 1533-position model. Lineage: Bacteria; Bacillati; Bacillota; Bacilli; Lactobacillales; Streptococcaceae. The record is from RNAcentral.
GGAGCUAUAAGUUCUCUGUAUCGCAGCUAACGCAAUAAGCACUCCGCCUGGGGAGUACGACCGCAAGGUUGAAACUCAAAGGAAUUGACGGGGGCCCGCACAAGCGGUGGAGCAUGUGGUUUAAUUCGAAGCAACGCGAAGAACCUUACCAGGUCUUGACAUACUCGUGCUAUUCCUAGAGAUAGGAAGUUCCUUCGGGACACGGGAUACAGGUGGUGCAUGGUUGUCGUCAGCUGCGAUACAGAGAACUUAUAGCUCC